CAUCGCAAUGACCUUACACUUACUUCGCUGUGUCCGUGCCCGAGUUCAGGCUCAGACAAUACUUAUUCCACAAACAUGGCUGUAUCUGAGGCUGAGAAAGCCAGACUUCCUGCCGCCACUUCACAAAAGGGUUCGGGGGGGGGGGGGGGAAGGGGGUGAUGUAGCUGGAGACUGUCUGCUACUGGGAUUCCAGGUUUACAAAUCAGGACUCUGGUUCCAAUGACCCAUUUUAUAAAUGAGAAGAUCGAGUCUGGGGUAGAAUGGGAACUCGGCACUCCCUGAGAGUCAGUGGCUGCUCGCAUGGCAAGGCAGGCUGAGUGCUUCACCUGCAGGACCCGUGAGGUGGGUGCUGUUAUUAUUCUCAUUUUACAAGUGAGGAAACUGAGGCUCAGAGAGGCAGAUCAGCUUGCCCUGGUCAGGAUAUCACAGAACUAAUCCGUGAUGGAGACGGGACUCGAACCCAGGCCUUCCUGACACCAAGAGCACUAAACUGUCUGUAGGUCUGCUAUAAUCCCCCUGCCUCUCACCAAGCUAACAGCGUGUCUGCAGCCUGCGGCCUUGUAAGUGCAUUCUGGGUGCUGGGGCUGGGGUGGGGAGGGGAGGUGAACAGAGAGGGCAGAGCUGGACCAGGCUGCAUCCCUUCCAGAACUGCCCAGAGCACAGUCUAGCCCAGCUGCUGCUCCAGGCAGGCCAGGGCAAGGUCAGGGAGAGGGAUCUGCCCAGAGGGCUCCUGGCCUCAGUCUGCCUUCCUGCUGCCAGGGGCACCUACAACAGUGCGCCCUGAAACCAGUGGGGGCACCACAGGGGGAGAAAGCCUUGAGUUAGUGCACUAUCAGUAUGGAGAAUGGCAGGGGCUCCCCUGGAGGACCAGAGCCCAGGGUGGGAGAGAGAGGAGCCACAGCAAGCUAGCAGCAGAGCUGGGAGGAGACAGAGGCACGCACAGGGGUUCUCUCUGCCCAUCUGUCUGUCUGUCUGUCUGCCUGUCAACUCUCCCCUCCUCUCUGUCUCUCUCUGUCUCUGUCUGUCUCUGUCUGUCUCUCUCUUUCUCUCUCUCUGUCUCUCUGUCUCUCUCUCUGUCUCUGUCUCUAUCUCCCUCCCUCUAUCUCUCUCCCUUCUCUGUCUCUCUCUGUGUCUCUCUCUG
Molecule: long non-coding RNA, 1141 nt
Filed under: Monodelphis domestica (gray short-tailed opossum)
Lineage: Eukaryota; Metazoa; Chordata; Mammalia; Didelphimorphia; Didelphidae
Description: lncRNA (ENSMODG00000042450.1)
Source: RNAcentral